CGGACGGGUGAGUAAUGUCUGGGAAACUGCCCGAUGGAGGGGGAUAACUACUGGAAACGGUAGCUAAUACCGCAUAACGUCGCAAGACCAAAGAGGGGGACCUUCGGGCCUCUUGCCAUCGGAUGUGCCCAGAUGGGAUUAGCUUGUUGGUGGGGUAACGGCUCACCAAGGCGACGAUCCCUAGCUGGUCUGAGAGGAUGACCAGCCACACUGGAACUGAGACACGGUCCAG
RNAcentral lists this ribosomal RNA (232 nucleotides) under uncultured bacterium. Its description in RNAcentral is "partial 16S ribosomal RNA". It matches the Rfam family "Bacterial small subunit ribosomal RNA", at positions 99 to 334 of the family's 1533-position model. The record is from RNAcentral.